This 99-nucleotide microRNA precursor is filed under the name Trifolium pratense (red clover). Its description in RNAcentral is "pre miRNA MIR394". It matches the Rfam family "MIR394 microRNA precursor family". The record is from Rfam by way of RNAcentral. Lineage: Eukaryota; Viridiplantae; Streptophyta; Magnoliopsida; Fabales; Fabaceae.
UUUACAGAGUUUAUUGGCAUUCUGUCCACCUCCACUUGCUCUUUGGAUCUCCACGGAGGAGGAGAGGAGGUGGACAUACUGCCAACUGAUCUCUGUUAG